Molecule: unclassified non-coding RNA, 1793 nt
Filed under: Hevea brasiliensis (rubber tree)
Lineage: Eukaryota; Viridiplantae; Streptophyta; Magnoliopsida; Malpighiales; Euphorbiaceae
Source: RNAcentral
CAACGUUCUACUAUAAGGGAGGAUUGUGUUAAAUAACGUAAUUUGCAUAUAAAUUAAUAAUUAGCAGCAUUACCACAAAAUCGAUCACCGGAAUCUCUCCAACCGAUUCUCUCCCCGAAAUAUUUUCCAAGAUAGUGACGCUCGUUUUUACCAUUUUAGACACAUUAAACGCCCAAAACUCGAAACAAAUAACAUCCGAUGUGGUGGAGAUCAGCCUCUUUCAUUCUCGACAAACAACAAAACGACACCGCACAAACCAUACCUGACACCCUAACUCUCUCUUCUCCGCCUCUCUCCAUGGCCGAUACUCUCCAAAACCCUAACCCUAAUAACAUUUCCGCUUAUUAUCAGACUCGUGCGGCCCACCAUGGCGUCGUCACUAGCGACUGGCUUGCCCAGGCGCAGGCUGCUGUUGGCCGCCAUCCUGAUGAUGUCUUGCCGCCGGAACCUGAAGUAAAAGUCGCUGGAAAGCCGUUUAGUGUCAUCCAUGAGUUCAAUAACUGGAGGAACCAACCGGACUUAGCGGAGGCUGUUGCUGCGAUUAGGGCGCUUGCGGCUGUAAUUAGGAACAGUGAGGCGACUACCAUGAUGGAGCUUGAAAUCGAGCUCAAGAAGGCAUCGGAUUCGCUCAAAGUGAGUUGUCAAUUUUUUUUUCUCUUUUUUCCCCCUUUUCAAUCUGAUCACUUUUAAUGGUUUGCUUAUGUUAGUGAUUAAUUUGUGAUGUGUUAAACUUUGGAAUGCAACUGCAGCAUUAUAACUGAAUUUGGAUUAUUUAUGUAUAUAUUUUGGCCAAGUAGUGGUGAGAAUUCUGAAAGGUUGGUCUUGGAAGGAAAUGAAUAAUUUGUGGAUCAAUGAAAAUGUUACAUUGGAUGUUUAUAUUCCAUACUCACAAUUGUUCCAUUGUUGAAGCCUGAGUUUUUCCAACGAUUUCUUGGAGGUUUCAGAAUUUUUUUUUUUUAUUAUUGGUUAGUGUUGCCUCUUUUUGCUAGUUACUCUUCAGAAAAAUAUUGUGAAUCUGUAAUUAAUCCUAUAUGUUCUGUCCAGUCUUGGGACACAACCUCUAUCUCUCUUACAGCAGGAUGUGAUCUGUUUAUGCGGUAUGUAACCAGAACUUCUGCCUUGGAAUAUGAGGACUUCAAUUCGGCUAAAUCUCGCUUGAUUGAACGUGCAGAGAAGUUUGGAGAGAUAUCUUAUAAGGCACGCAGAAUCAUUGCAAUGCUUAGUCAAGAUUUUAUUUUUGAUGGCUGCACUAUUUUGGUGCAUGGGUUCUCCAGAGUUGUGUUGGAAGUCCUGAAGACAGCAGCUCAGAAUAAGAAACUGUUUCGAGUUUUCUGCACAGAGGGAAGGCCUGAUAGAACAGGAUUAAGGUUGUCCAACGAGUUGGCCAAGCUUGAUGUUCCUGUGAAACUCCUAAUAGACUCUGCUGUGGCAUAUUCUAUGGAUGAAGUGGACAUGGUAUUUGUUGGAGCAGAUGGAGUUGUUGAAAGUGGAGGUAUAAUCAACAUGAUGGGAACGUACCAAAUUGCACUGGUGGCUCAUAGCAUGGACAAACCUGUAUAUGUAGCUGCUGAAAGCUAUAAGUUUGCUCGUCUUUAUCCCUUAGAUCAGAAAGACAUGGCUCCUGCUUUACGGCCCAUUGAUUUUGGGGUACCCAUCCCGUCAAAGGUGGAGGUCGAAACAUCUGCCAGGGAUUAUACUCCUCCUCAAUACCUGACAUUGCUUUUUACUGAUCUUGGUGUACUCACUCCAUCUGUAGUCAGUGAUGAGCUGAUUCAGCUAUACUUAUAGUCAUG